This 520-nucleotide small RNA is filed under the name uncultured Glomus. RNAcentral's name for it is "SSU rRNA". It matches the Rfam family "Eukaryotic small subunit ribosomal RNA", at positions 569 to 1090 of the family's 1831-position model. The record is from RNAcentral. Lineage: Eukaryota; Fungi; Glomeromycota; Glomeromycetes; Glomerales; Glomeraceae.
AGCAGCCGCGGUAAUUCCAGCUCCAAUAGCGUAUAUUAAAGUUGUUGCAGUUAAAAAGCUCGUAGUUGAAUUUCGGGGUCAGUAGGUUGGUCGUGCCACAGGUAUGAACUGGCCUCACUGAUUCCUCCUUCCUGAUGAACCGUAAUGCCAUUAAUUUGGUGUUGCGGGGAGACUGGACUGUUACUUUGAAAAAAUUAGAGUGUUUAAAGCAGGCUAACGCUUGAAUACAUUAGCAUGGAAUAAUGAAAUAGGACGUUCGGUCUUAUUUUGUUGGUUUCUAAGAUUGACGUAAUGAUUAAUAGGGAUAGUUGGGGGCAUUAGUAUUCAAUUGUCAGAGGUGAAAUUCUUGGAUUUAUUGAAGACUAACUACUGCGAAAGCAUUUGCCAAGGAUGUUUUCAUUAAUCAAGAACGAAAGUUAGGGGAUCGAAGACGAUCAGAUACCGUCGUAGUCUUAACCAUAAACUAUGCCGACUAGGGAUCGGAUGAUGUUAAUUUUUUAAUGACUCAUUCGGCGCCUUA